CAACAUGGGUUAAGCCAGUCAUAUGAUUUCCCUGUGGGCAAAACUGCUUACUUAAAUAAAAAAAUAUAUAAUAAUUUAAAAUAGGGGUAACAGUGGAUUAGCAUUCAUACAUUUACAAGGUAGUAAUACAUUAAAAUUUUGUUCUCCAUAUGAAAAACAACCAAGUCCAGCUAACUAGCUAGCUACCUUGCUAAACCCAGUAUCAGCUGGAGCUAAAUUAGCUGUCAACGAAAUAGCAAGGAAAGCUAGGAAGAGCACAAAAAACACCUGCUGAUAUUCUCAACAUUUACAGACAUUCUUACCAUAAUUCAGUUCUCUUCUAGCAAUUGACGGUGGAAUAAAAGACAUAACAUUUCUAUCAUGGCUGAUGACUUGAAGAGAUACUUGUACAAGCUGUUACCAAGUAUUGAGGGUCUUCAUGCAAUCAUAGUGACAGAUAGGGAUGGUGUCCCAGUUAUUAAAGAUUGUGCAGUUUAACCGGUUACCAUUGGUGAUAAGUUUCAUCGCAAGCAGUAGUGCCAACACAGGUUUGAUUAUCCGUCUGGAGAAGGAGCUUGUACCACUAAUCGAAGAGCUACGGCAGGUAGUGGAGGUUGCUUAGGAGUGUAUCACCUUGACAGCAAUGGGACUAUUCUGUGACAGAGUCAGUCAUGAAAAAGGAUCUAUCUGAAACUACAUAUUUUUAAUAUCUAUAUCAUGCACAUACAUACAUACAGAGAGCUCUGUUGCUGAAAGACAUAGAUACAGGACAUGUUGUUAGUGUCAUGAUGCUGUGUUUGUUGCCUUAAUUUUCUAAUACUUGAAUGUAACCCCUUCCUUUCUCGUGUUUGUAAUUAAUAAACUGACUCUGUUGCUAAUUUCUCUAUUAAAAUAAAUAUUUAUUCACAGUA
Molecule: long non-coding RNA, 890 nt
Organism: Salmo salar (Atlantic salmon)
Lineage: Eukaryota; Metazoa; Chordata; Actinopteri; Salmoniformes; Salmonidae
Source: RefSeq, a predicted model, not a curated record